RNAcentral lists this ribosomal RNA (301 nucleotides) under uncultured Pyrobaculum sp. Its description in RNAcentral is "bacterial SSU rRNA". The stretch from base 54 to 301 matches the Rfam family "Bacterial small subunit ribosomal RNA", at positions 548 to 795 of the family's 1533-position model. Lineage: Archaea; Thermoproteati; Thermoproteota; Thermoprotei; Thermoproteales; Thermoproteaceae. The record is from RNAcentral.
UUGGAGCGUCUGCGUGGUCUGCGUGGUAAGGUGGAGGGGGGUAGCGUUAUGCUGAAGUACUGGGCGUAAAUGGUGCGUGGGCGUUUCUUUAUGUCGGCGUUGAAAUCCCCGGGCUCAGCCUGGGAAUGUCGGUGGAUACUGGCGAUCUAGAGUGUGUCAGAGGAUGGUGGAAUUCCCGGUGUAGCGGUGAAAUGCGUAGAGAUCGGGAGGAACAUCAGUGGCGAAGGCGGCCAUCUGGGACAACACUGACGCUGAAGCACGAAAGCGUGGGGAGCAAACAGGAUUAGAUACCCUAGUAGUC